Long non-coding RNA from Brienomyrus brachyistius, 1008 nucleotides. RefSeq lists it as uncharacterized. The record is from RefSeq and is a predicted model, not a curated record. The transcript is spliced from 5 exons. NCBI's taxonomy places the organism in Eukaryota, Metazoa, Chordata, Actinopteri, Osteoglossiformes, Mormyridae.
GAACUAUUCGUUCCAUUUUUAGAAGUUCUGGACGAUUCUCUAAAUGGAGCACCAUACAGUAUGACAGAGCUCAGUGAUAAGAGCAGGUGUCACCAAACCUCAUCACAGAGGGCUUCCAGGUGCAGCGCCUCGAGUUUCUGGGUCAUCUCCUUCCUGCGGUUCCGGAACCAGCCGUCGAAGUUGGGAGACUUCAGAAACUGCCUGUGAUGUCAGACACGGGUCACAGGUGAACCACGAGAGACACACACAAACACUGUAACUACAAAUGGUUGCACCCCCUGAAUUUGUGUCACAGCGGGGCAGCAAAGGCUGUCCCAUUUCAAUGGCUCCUUCAAAUGCGGUGUAGUGAUGUGGCCUCCUCUUCCUGCUCCACAAAGGAUGCACCCAAUGGAUCCUUCAUAUCCCAAGAUUCAUUGCACAUAGGAAAAGUGGGUGUGUUCCCGCUAGGCGAUAGGGGCAGUGCUCGUGAAUCAAAAAGCAGAUGUCCAGCUUACCUUCCAAGGUGAAAUGCUCUUCUGCAAAGGCAUCAGACUCGCCACAUAACGCUCCUGGGGGAAGGGAGGGUCAAACAGGGGAGACUGAAAAAUAUAUGGAUGGAUGUAACCAGUGUAGGUGAACCAGAGCAGGAUGACCAUCACAGCCCUGCAAAACAGAGGAGGCCGGAUCUUCCAGGGAGGACAGGAUGGAGAUGGAUCCAUCGGGCUGGGAAGCAGGCGGAGGAGCAGGCCAAACCUAGAACUGGCUGCAAGCGGAGAAACAGCCGCCGGGAUCAGCCACUGCCUCAACAGGAGGGGGGGGGUCAUCAGGGGGCCAGAGCGGAACUCACAGUGUUUUAUUCAAAUAUCAAACCAAAACAGGUUGUAAUCCAAGUAGUUCCCAUCAUCUACAGUCCUUUUGGUAAGACCUGAGAACAUGGUAUUAGACGCUGUCAAGCCAUGUUGUUCAGGAGGAAAUGCACCGUUACGCAGCGUCGCCCUCCACAGGUCAAGGAGAACACUAACCUGACCA